GCUGGAAUAGCUCAGUUGGUUAGAGCGUGUGGCUCUUAAUCACAAGGUCAGAGGUUCAAGCUCUCCUUCUAGCG
This is a transfer RNA of Ipomoea nil (Japanese morning glory), 74 nucleotides long. It matches the Rfam family "tRNA". Rfam says of the family: Transfer RNA (tRNA) molecules are approximately 80 nucleotides in length. The record is from Rfam. NCBI's taxonomy places the organism in Eukaryota, Viridiplantae, Streptophyta, Magnoliopsida, Solanales, Convolvulaceae.